UAUACCAGGGGACAAUCCGAUAAAAUUGGAACGAUACGGAAAAGAUUAGCAUGAUCCCUGUGCAAGGAUCACACGCACUAUACAAGUGUACAUAGUUAUU
Non-coding RNA from Solanum lycopersicum (tomato), 100 nucleotides. Lineage: Eukaryota; Viridiplantae; Streptophyta; Magnoliopsida; Solanales; Solanaceae. The record is from Rfam.